AAUCGCAUCAAGUACCGAUAACGAUUUCACAAAUGACAUCUAAAUUAUCAACAGCAUCCUACAAAUUCCAUGGAGCACUCAUGAAUCCUCCUUAAAAUGCAUCUACAGCAAAUAAAUAUGAAAAAUUAAAAACGUGCAAAUGAUUUUUAUAUCACAAUUUGAAAUUUUGCAGAUAGUUUUUAUGCCCAUAAUUUUACCGAAACGAAAUUUUGAUAUUUUAAGCUCCAAAAUCUUUCA
This 237-nucleotide long non-coding RNA is filed under the name Durio zibethinus. RNAcentral describes it as "long non-coding RNA (DZIB_LNC002028)". The record is from RNAcentral. Lineage: Eukaryota; Viridiplantae; Streptophyta; Magnoliopsida; Malvales; Malvaceae.